Molecule: long non-coding RNA, 1745 nt
Organism: Monodelphis domestica (gray short-tailed opossum)
Lineage: Eukaryota; Metazoa; Chordata; Mammalia; Didelphimorphia; Didelphidae
Source: Ensembl
AGAGCAAAUUAAUGACCAUCCCUGGUAAGGCCAUUUUAAUAAUGUGCUAUUAAAACUGUAUUAUUGAGGGUAGCUGGGUAGCUAGCUCAGUGAAUUGAGAGCUAGACCUAGAGAUGGGAGGUCCCAAGUUCAAAUCUGGCCUCAGACACUUCCCAGCUGUGUGACCCUGGGCAAGUCACUUGACCCCCAUUGCCUAACCCUUUCCACUCUUCUGCCUUGGAACCAAUACACAGUAUUUCUCCCUUUCUCUCUUUCUCUCUUUCUCUCUUUCUCUCUUUCUUUCUUUCUUUCUUUCUUUCUUUCUUUCUUUCUUUCUUUCUUUCUUUCUUUCUUUCUUUCUCUCUUUCUUUCUUUCUUUCUUUCUUUCUUUCUUUCUUUCUUUCUUUCUUUCUUUCUUUCUUUCUUUCUUUCUUUCUUUCUUUCUUUCUUUCUUUCUUUCUUUCUUUCUUUCUUUCUUUCUUUCUUUCUUUCUUUCUUUCCUUGCCACAGACCAGGAUUAUGGAAUAUAUUGAUUCUGUGCUAGUUUAUAGGAUGCUUCAUGGUUCAGUGGAAAAAGCACUGGUUCUGUGUUCAGAAAACCUGGGAUAAAACCUCACCUCUGACUCAUACUACUUUUGUGACCUCAUAUAAGUCAAAUGGGCAACUAGGUGUUGGAGUAGAUAGAGUACUGGGUCUGGAUUCAGAAAGAUAAGCUUUCCUGAAUUAAAAUCUGGUCUCCAACAAAUGAUUAGCUAUGAGAUCCUUGGCAAAUCACUUAACCCUUGCCAGUAUUGAUUCUAAGACAGAAGACCAGGAGUGCUCAACAAUUCCCUGGCCAAGAAAAAAACUCCCAUAAGACAUGGCCCUGCAGCAAGAGUUCAGAAGCAGGAUUCCCCACUGAAAUGAGAAGCAGGGAUUCCCAUGACCAGCAGCAGCCUCACAGCUGGCAAUCAAUCGUCAGCCUCAAUCUUCUCUGGAUUGCUUGCAUGCUCCCAUCAGGUACGGUAGCAGUUCACAGAAAUCACAGUCAUUAUCCAGCCUCUGCUCUUGGAGAGAAGGAAGCCCUGGGAGCUGCGUGCACCCUCUCCUUUCCCAAGACUGUGCCCCAACCUGGCCAUCCCCAGGUUGCAAAGCUCUGCCUCACAAGACAGGACCAAGCCUGAGAAGAUUAACAGCUGAGGCAGGAAGAAGGGGAAAGCAUGGAAGUAGAGCAGAGAAAUCAGUUUUAAACUCACCACCUUUGUGGGAAAUCCCAGGGUUCUAAUUUGUCAUUUCAUUUUAUUCAUUGUGAAACGGACUCCCCCCACCUUCCCCGAGAGCUGGGAGCCCAGCAGCAAAAGGCAUUCUGCUUUAAAACCCCAAUGACCGGGGAGUCGUUGGAAACUUAGCUUCGCCCUGCUUCUAAAAUAACAAUGGCAGCGUUCAUUCUCUUAGGGGAUCACAAAGGUAAUUAAUUUUCUUGGAAACUGCCUGCCAUGACCCUACUCAGAACCAACCCAAGCAGCCAUUUCAACAGCAAGCAUUCAUUCAUUCGUCUCUACCCUUUGACUCCUGGGCUGGCCACUGCCAAUUCUACAGGCAUUUAUUAAGCCUUUACUACCACGGGUCAAGCCCUGGGCUAGGUGUUGCUGAAGCAGAGGCAGAAAUGAAGGAGUCCCUGCCUUCAAGGGGCUUAGGGGUUCGUUUGGAGGUGAAGGGGUGGGGAGGGAACAAUAGAUAUUCAGGUAAGGAGAAAUAAAUAUGAGAUACAGACAAAGUGGGGACCA